Molecule: ribosomal RNA, 459 nt
Filed under: uncultured bacterium
Lineage: Bacteria
Description: partial 16S ribosomal RNA
Rfam family: Bacterial small subunit ribosomal RNA
Source: RNAcentral
CCUACGGGAGGCAGCAGUGAGGAAUAUUGGUCAAUGGGCGCUAGCCUGAACCAGCCAAGUAGCGUGAAGGAAGACUGCCCUAUGGGUUGUAAACUUCUUUUGUAUGGGAAUAAAGUGCAGUAUGUAUGCUGCUUUGCAUGUACCUUAUGAAUAAGGAUCGGCUAACUCCGUGCCAGCAGCCGCGGUAAUACGGAGGAUGCGAGCGUUAUCCGGAUUUAUUGGGUUUAAAGGGUGCGUAGGCGGUUUUUUAAGUUAGUGGUUAAACGUCGGGGCUUCACCUUGAUUUGCCCUUUAUACUGUAAGACUUGAGUGUAGAUGAGGUAGGCGGAAUGAGUGGAGUAGCGGUGAAAUGCUUAGAUAUCACACAGAACUCCGAUAGCGAAGGCAGCUUACCAGACUGCGACUGACGCUGAGGCACGAGAGCGUGGGGAGCGAACAGGAUUAGAUACCCGUGUAGUC